ACGCGCGCGCGGGGGGGCGGGACAGAUGACAUUGUCGUCGAUGCGAUCUGCCCGGGAAAACGACAUGGCAUGGGCGGGCGCGAAAGGCGUGGCGGCGGCGGUGUCGGUCCGUCCGUUCACGGCUCACAUGACGCUGCACCCGACCGUGUUGUCGUCGUUGAAGAAGUCCUCGUCGAAGCGGGACGGCUGCGGCCGGACCUGCGGGUGGUGCCGCUGGGCCACCCCCACCCCCAUCGCCAUCGCCACGGGCACCGGCGGCGGCAUGCCGUAGUAGCCGUAGUACGGCACCGCCGCGGCCGGCGGCGCGUAGUACGCCGGCACGUGCACCGGCACCACCGUCGGCGGCUCCGCGCGGUGGUAGUGCUGCUGCACCUGCGCCUGCGCGUGGCGGUGAUCGGCGGCCACCGCCACGGGCGGCUUGGUGUCGAACUCGUCGGCGUCGCCGCCUUCCUCGCCUGUCCAGCCGGCGGUGCCGUCCUUGGGCGACGGCGCCUUCUUCCCGCUGCCGCGGUCGCCAUCGACACCGCCACCGCCCUCGGCGCGCGAGGCCGCCUCGCCGGCGCACUUCUUGCAUCCCUCCUGCUCGCUCGGCGCCGCCGCCGCCGCCGCCUUGUCACCGGCGUCGCCCUUGCCCUUGCGCUUCUCCUCCACCUGCGCCUGCGCCGCCCUGUCGCCGUCGUCCCGCUUCUUGCAUUGUUCGAAAGCCGCCGGCGCCGGAGGCAGCGGCUCGGCGAUCUUGCCGACCCUGGCCAGCUUCUUCACGAGGACCUUGACGUCCACGUCGCCAACGACGGUCACCCGGUCGUGCGACGGCUGGAUCUCCGUCCGCAGCACGCCUGCACGCCCAUUGACGCGCGCACACGUACGUAUGUCAGCACCAGGCUUGUCUCACUCAGCGAAAGAGCAAAGCAGAGCAGAGCAGAGCACCAGGCUUGUAAUCCUGGGCCGGUAGAGAGCGAAGAAGAAGGAUGGUGACCUUUGAGGCUCAUCGCCUUCAUCACCUUCCUCCUGCAGCCGUCGCAGCAGCUCACGUUCACCUUCAGGUCAAUCCUCUGCACGGAACGGCACGAUGUCAGUACUCAGUAGUAGUCCAUCAAUACUUCAAUAGCAGGCAAUACGAGCAUGCCCCCGCCGGCCGAGCAAGGUAAGCUUUGGUACGAACCUUGAGCUCUUCUUCCCUAGCCAUGGCGAUGAUGGCUACGGCGCUGGAGCUCGCCGGAGAGACUGGCUCUGCGUGGGAGCUGGCUGCUGGCUGCUGACCAGCUGACUGCUGCUGCUGAGUGUGUGUGUGAUGCCUAUCGCCCGUUGCUGCCGUCCAUUUAUAUAUACGGCCACAUAGGCAGCUUUAUUAGCAAACUGAUGGACCAUUAGAUACCCAAACGUCCACGGUCCGUUGCUCGAUUCCGAGCUGUGUGCAGUUACGUUAUUUUAAUCACACUAGCUUAAGGGAGAAGAGGUAUAUAGUGGGACAACUCAAACUCGUGUACUCGAAGACUUGCAGUUGUGGUUGCAACCUCUCUCUGCUUGCGCCAGCAUCAUGGAUUCGUAGGUUGUUAUGUGAUGAUGUGUUCUUUGGCCACUAAAAAAAUGAUACUCCAACAAACAAGAGCUCUAAGAAUGAUACAGAGGGAAUGUUCUUUCCUGAAUCCGUACAUGCUCUUCUCAAAUGAAAAGGAAAAAAAAACACCUCCAUUCUAAAUUAUAAGAUGUUUAGUUUUUC
This 1720-nucleotide unclassified non-coding RNA is filed under the name Zea mays. Its description in RNAcentral is "misc RNA Zm00001eb430900". Lineage: Eukaryota; Viridiplantae; Streptophyta; Magnoliopsida; Poales; Poaceae. The record is from RNAcentral.